AAUGAACGCUGGCGGCAUGCCUUACACAUGCAAGUCGAACGGCAGCAUGACCUAGCUUGCUAGGUUGAUGGCGAGUGGCGAACGGGUGAGUAAUGCAUCGGAACGUGCCUUUUAGUGGGGGAUAACGUAGCGAAAGUUACGGUAAUACCGCAUAUUCUCUGAGGAGGAAAGCAGGGGACCUUCGGGCCUUUCGCUAGAAGAGCGGCCGAUGUCGGAUUAGCUAGUUGGUGAUGUAAAGGCUCACCAAGGCAACGAUCCGUAGCGGGUCUGAGAGGAUGAUGCGCCACACUGGGACUGAGACACGGCCCAGACUCCUACGGGAGGCAGCAGUGGGGAAGUUUGGACAAUGGGCGCAAGCCUGAUCCAGCCAUGCCGCGUGAGUGAAGAAGGCCUUCGGGUUGUAAAGCUCUUUCGGCUGGGAAGAAAUCGCACCCUCUAAUACAGGGUGUGGAUGACGGUACCAGCAUAAGAAGCACCGGCUAACUACGUG
RNAcentral lists this ribosomal RNA (490 nucleotides) under uncultured bacterium. Its description in RNAcentral is "partial 16S ribosomal RNA". It matches the Rfam family "Bacterial small subunit ribosomal RNA", at positions 29 to 507 of the family's 1533-position model. The record is from RNAcentral.